Long non-coding RNA from Chlorocebus sabaeus (green monkey), 877 nucleotides. RefSeq lists it as uncharacterized. Lineage: Eukaryota; Metazoa; Chordata; Mammalia; Primates; Cercopithecidae. The record is from RefSeq and is a predicted model, not a curated record.
AGGGGAGCAGGAGGAUUGAGGGGAGCCGGGCGCUGGGGGACGUCGGCGCGCAGGACGUUCACGCCCGCACCUUUCCGGCCUGUGGCGGUUCCAGCCCCAGACCGUUUGCAUCUGGAGGAUUUCUGGCCAUCCAAGAACAAACUUCCGAAUCUCCAAAUUUCCAAGCCUUGGAAAUGGGAAAACAAACCGAGAUCUCUCCUUCUCCAGCCUUUGAAAGAACCGAAGUAACUCCCAACCCUCCCCACCUCCUGGGACCGGCCAGGAACAUUUAUAAGUAAUGACUGUGUCACCUAGGAACACAAAUUAGGCUCCUGUGCUUCCCCUGGGGACGAGCUUUGUCAAACCCACUCGGCAAGUUGAGUCAACAGUGACCCACAGCACCUACUAGAAAUACUUCCCUCAAAUGCAAGACCUGGCAUUUAAAACUGGAAGAUUCUUACCACAUGUGCUCCUGGGCUUCGCGGACUUGAUUGUUUCCAUCUAGGCUUUUGACGUGUGUCACAAAGAAGUAGGAUCUAGAUGCUAGGAUAUAUAAUGAACAUCUACAAAUCAGUCAGAAGAGGACAAACAAUACACUUGGCAAUAGACAUUGGGUACAAAUAAGUAAUUCACAGCAGAAGAAACUUGAGAGAUGGUCAAUAUGUAUAAUAUAUGAAAAGAUAACCCAAUCUCUUUACUUCUCAGGGAAAUGUAAAAUUAAAACAACAGUGAGAUAUAAUACCAUUUUACAUCUACCAGAUGUUGUUCUUCAUAUUUUUAUCACUGGAGCUUAGUAGAGGGUGGACACUCAACAAAUGUCUGUGGUCGUUCUGGGUUGUGGAUUCUGGGGUGUUUUAAAUGAGCUCUCCAUAAUUAAAGAGAUGCAAAUUAAAAACAA